This 2892-nucleotide ribosomal RNA is filed under the name Acinetobacter baumannii. RNAcentral's name for it is "23S ribosomal RNA". It matches the Rfam family "Bacterial large subunit ribosomal RNA". Lineage: Bacteria; Pseudomonadati; Pseudomonadota; Gammaproteobacteria; Moraxellales; Moraxellaceae. The record is from RNAcentral.
AGUCAAGUAAUUAAGUGCAUGUGGUGGAUGCCUUGGCAGUCAGAGGCGAUGAAAGACGUGAUAGCCUGCGAAAAGCUCCGGGGAGGCGGCAAAUAUCCUUUGAUCCGGAGAUGUCUGAAUGGGGGAACCCACCUACUUUAAGGUAGGUAUUGCAACAUGAAUACAUAGUGUUGCAAGGCGAACGAGGGGAAGUGAAACAUCUCAGUACCCUUAGGAAAAGAAAUCAAUUGAGAUUCCCUCAGUAGCGGCGAGCGAACGGGGAUCAGCCCAUUAAGUUAUGUGUGUUUUAGUGGAACGCUCUGGGAAGUGCGAACGUAGAGGGUGAUAUUCCCGUACACGAAAGGGCACACAUAAUGAUGACGAGUAGGGCGAGGCACGUGAAACCUUGUCUGAAUAUGGGGGACCAUCCUCCAAGGCUAAAUACUCCUGACUGACCGAUAGUGAACCAGUACCGUGAGGGAAAGGCGAAAAGAACCCCUGUGAGGGGAGUGAAAUAGAUCCUGAAACCGCAUGCAUACAAGCAGUGGGAGCACCUUCGUGGUGUGACUGCGUACCUUUUGUAUAAUGGGUCAGCGACUUAUAUUCAGUAGCGAGGUUAACCGUAUAGGGGAGCCGUAGAGAAAUCGAGUCUUAAUAGGGCGUUUAGUUGCUGGGUAUAGACCCGAAACCAGGCGAUCUAUCCAUGAGCAGGUUGAAGGUUGGGUAACACUAACUGGAGGACCGAACCCACUGUCGUUGAAAAGCCAGGGGAUGACUUGUGGAUAGGGGUGAAAGGCUAAUCAAGCCUGGUGAUAGCUGGUUCUCCCCGAAAGCUAUUUAGGUAGCGCCUCGGACGAAUACCAUAGGGGGUAGAGCACUGUUUCGGCUAGGGGGUCAUCCCGACUUACCAAACCGAUGCAAACUCCGAAUACCUAUGAGUACUAUCCGGGAGACAGACUGCGGGUGCUAACGUCCGUAGUCAAGAGGAAAACAAUCCAGACCGCCAGCUAAGGCCCCAAAAUCAUAGUUAAGUGGGAAACGAUGUGGGAAGGCAUAGACAGCUAGGAGGUUGGCUUAGAAGCAGCCACCCUUUAAAGAAAGCGUAAUAGCUCACUAGUCGAGUCGGCCUGCGCGGAAGAUGUAACGGGGCUAAAACUAUGUGCCGAAGCUGCGGAUGUAUACUUUGUAUACGUGGUAGGGGAGCGUUCUGUAAGCCGAUGAAGGUGUGUUGAGAAGCAUGCUGGAGGUAUCAGAAGUGCGAAUGCUGACGUGAGUAACGACAAAACGGGUGAAAAACCCGUUCGCCGAAAGACCAAGGGUUCCAGUCCAACGUUAAUCGGGGCUGGGUGAGUCGACCCCUAAGGCGAGGCCGAAAGGCGUAGUCGAUGGGAAAAUGGUUAAUAUUCCAUUACUUCUGUGUAAUGCGAUGAGAGGACGGAGAAGGCUAAAUCAGCCUGGCGUUGGUUGUCCAGGUGAAAGGAUGUAGGCAUGUAUCUUAGGCAAAUCCGGGGUACUCUAUGCUGAGAUCUGAUAGCAAGCUGUACUUGUACAGCGAAGUGGUUGAUGCCAUGCUUCCAGGAAAAGUCUCUAAGCUUCAGUUACACAGGAAUCGUACCCGAAACCGACACAGGUGGUCAGGUCGAGUAGACCAAGGCGCUUGAGAGAACUCUGCUGAAGGAACUAGGCAAAAUGGUACCGUAACUUCGGGAGAAGGUACGCUGUUGUUGGUGAUGGAACUCGCUUCCUGAGCUGACGACAGCCGCAGAAACCAGGCCGCUGCAACUGUUUAUUAAAAACAUAGCACUCUGCAAACACGAAAGUGGACGUAUAGGGUGUGAUGCCUGCCCGGUGCUGGAAGGUUAAUUGAUGGGGUUAGCGUAAGCGAAGCUCUUGAUCGAAGCCCCAGUAAACGGCGGCCGUAACUAUAACGGUCCUAAGGUAGCGAAAUUCCUUGUCGGGUAAGUUCCGACCUGCACGAAUGGCAUAAUGAUGGCGGCGCUGUCUCCAGCAGAGGCUCAGUGAAAUCGAAAUCGCUGUGAAGAUGCAGUGUACCCGCGGCUAGACGGAAAGACCCCGUGAACCUUUACUGCAGCUUGACACUGAACUUUGACCUUACUUGUGUAGGAUAGGUGGGAGGCUUUGAAGCUGGAACGCUAGUUCCAGUGGAGCCGUCCUUGAAAUACCACCCUGGUAAUGUUGAGGUUCUAACUCUGUCCCGUGAUCCGGGACGAGGACCGUGUCUGGUGGGUAGUUUGACUGGGGCGGUCUCCUCCUAAAGAGUAACGGAGGAGUACGAAGGUGCGCUCAGCGUGGUCGGAAAUCACGCGUAGAGUAUAAAGGCAAAAGCGCGCUUAACUGCGAGACCCACAAGUCGAGCAGGUACGAAAGUAGGUCUUAGUGAUCCGGUGGUUCUGUAUGGAAGGGCCAUCGCUCAACGGAUAAAAGGUACUCUGGGGAUAACAGGCUGAUACCGCCCAAGAGUUCAUAUCGACGGCGGUGUUUGGCACCUCGAUGUCGGCUCAUCUCAUCCUGGGGCUGAAGCAGGUCCCAAGGGUAUGGCUGUUCGCCAUUUAAAGAGGUACGCGAGCUGGGUUUAGAACGUCGUGAGACAGUUCGGUCCCUAUCUACCGUGGGCGCUGGAAAUUUGAGAGGAUCUGCUCCUAGUACGAGAGGACCAGAGUGGACGAACCUCUGGUGUACCGGUUGUGACGCCAGUCGCAUCGCCGGGUAGCUAUGUUCGGAAGGGAUAACCGCUGAAAGCAUCUAAGCGGGAAGCCUACCUCAAGAUAAGAUUUCCCUAGGACUUUAUGUCCUCUAAAGAGCCGUUCGAGACUAGGACGUUGAUAGGUUGGAUGUGGAAGCAUAGUGAUAUGUGAAGCUGACCAAUACUAAUUGCUCGUGAGGCUUGACUAU